UCUCCUUCCGUUCAUGUGUUUCACUUUACCUUUCUCCAUUUUCUGCUUUAGGGCUUCUGCUUUCCUCGGCCAUUGUCGUUGUGUGCCUUCAAUUCUCUCGAUUUCUUCCUUUUUGUUUCGCAAUUUUAUCUCCGGCGAGACACGAUCUUUGAUUUUUUGCAAUCAUUGUUCGCUGUUCUUCUCUAUUUUUGGCUGCGAUCUGUGCGUUGCAUCGAUUUUGUCUUUUUCGCCGUUUUGUUUCAAGCCUCUCUUUUGAGAGGAUCGGUGCAUAUUAAGAUUUUCGCUCCAAUUUGGGUGAUCUCUCUUCUGAGAGAAUUGGUGCAUGUUGAGCUUUUCCAAAUGCACAGAGCCUUUUAAAAAUACUGCUACCCUCUACAAAACAAGCCAGUAAAGCUCAAAUAUUGCAGACAGCAAAGAAGGUAACAAUUGAAGAGUUGGCUUUUUUAGAUCCAAAUUUGUACAAGAACGAAACCUUUCUCCGCAAAGAAUCUGUCAAGCAGUUUGACGCACACUACGAUUGGUGGUACAGUGCUUGCCUAAACAGUGCCAAACAAAUGCACAAAUAUCGAACAAUUGGGCAAUGGAUUUGUCAAAAACAUGCAAACCAGCUACCAACUCCUAGGGGAGAAAAUGUUCGAUGGAAUAAUUUCUUAGAUGUAUUGCCACAUCCCCAAGGAUUAGGUCCACUUUUUACAGGUACAAACUAAACUUGGUCCUUGAGGACGAAACCAAUGAAAUGAAUGCUUUAAUUAUUGGCAAAUCUGGUGAGAAGCUUUUUGGCACAACCUGCAGAGAUUUAGUUCGGGUUUACCCACAUACUCUGGGGGCGAUUUCUAAAGACGAUAGAGCUGCAUGGAUGACAAGAGGAAGUACAAAGGGAUGCAUUUGGCUCCCACUUUUGAGGUUCCUCCCAUGAGCAGGCACCCAAAAACUGGCGACUGAAAUAUUUUCAUCAUGUGUUGAAGCAACAAAAAGACUACGCAGUUGCAUCGUGAAGUACAUAGCUCACUUCUCCUAUUAAAUGUACCCCAUUGUUCAGAUCCUUCGCAGCAGGAAUUCCCAGCCCAAAAUUUUCUGAAAGUUUUAAUGAUUGCCACCUGCUUUUGGCAGGUGAAAAUUUGAUGUCAUCUUCAACUUUCCUCAUGCAAGCCAUUACUCUAGCCUACGCGAAAAGGACUUUGAGCUUAUUGAAAGGAAAAUAAAGUCAAGUAUACAAAUGAGUUAGAAAGUAAGGUGUGACUAUUUUGAAGCACCUGUGAUGCUGCUGUUAUAUUUUGGGUACGUUUUCUGUCCUGCUUUUUUCCAGUUUGGAGAUGCACUGAUAAUUGUUGGAUUAAAAUGGAUUUGUAUUUUUUGGGAAGAAAUGAGAGGAGUCGUUGGAAUUUUAGAAAGCUUUGUGUUUCUACCUUUUAUGUGACAGAGGGAAUACAGACAGGGAGAGGAAGAGAGAAAACAUUAGUUUAGAUUGCAAUUUUAUGAGUUUUUAUGUUAGUGUUGGAACCAAUGUAUUUUGUUGGGAAAUUGAUAAUAUGUAAAGUUAUUAAGAUUUUGGAAAGAUUUGUCUUUCUCAGUUUUAUCUGUCGGAGGGAACACAACUCUUACAUAUAUGAUUUCAAGUUGUCCCUUUAGAAAUUCAAGCUUUAUUGAAUACAUGAGGUGUAAGAAACUGUUUGGGAUAUUUUCAAGUUUUUCCGAUUCCUGAAAAAAAAAAAAAGCAUGCUUAAGAGUAAUUAUAUUUUAAUUUUUAUUGAAUUCAGGUAACCAUCUUUAGGUUUUUUGCUUUGAUUUGAAGAAUUUCUUACCCAGGAAAGCCAGGGCUUCCUGAUGAGUUCUUUGGGUUCCAUAUCUGGCAUCUUUGUUUUGUUCAAAUUUGGGGCGUUUGUGAUUUGGGAUUUAUGUGCUGUCUUAUCAACUCUUAAUGUUGAAUUAGGUAGCUAUUAAUGUUGGAUUAAUCAAAGUUGGGCAUCAGUUCAUAUGUUUUUCAAUGUUUCUAUUCUGAUUUAAUAACGUGAUUUAAUAGUGUGAUGCUGACUUAGGCUAUAAAUUCAGAGGCUUUUGAAUAGCCAAAUUUGCAACGAAUUUCAGAGGCUGUUGUAUCAUUAGCUGAAAUAUACUACGUAUAAUCCUUAGACAUCAUUUUUCACUUUGAUUAAGAUGUGUGCCUACCUUCUCAGUUUUUACCAUUGUAGAUGCGGGUGGUAUAAAUUUUUACUUAAAAAAUUGAACUCGAAAUGAAAACCCAGGUGAAAAAGCAUGGAAACAACUCUUGCGUAGAAAUGACUUCUGGGAAUGAAUUUUCUUGAGAUUUGAUCCCAGCUAUUUGAUAAGAGUCGGGUUUUAUAACUUAAACCAUUUCCAAUAACUAUUUGGAAAUAGGAUGAA
Non-coding RNA from Malus domestica (apple), 2382 nucleotides. The record is from RefSeq and is a predicted model, not a curated record. Lineage: Eukaryota; Viridiplantae; Streptophyta; Magnoliopsida; Rosales; Rosaceae.